This 468-nucleotide ribosomal RNA is filed under the name uncultured bacterium. RNAcentral's name for it is "partial 16S ribosomal RNA". It matches the Rfam family "Bacterial small subunit ribosomal RNA", at positions 28 to 507 of the family's 1533-position model. The record is from RNAcentral.
GACGAACGCUGGCGGCGUGCCUAACACAUGCAAGUCGAACGGAAAGGCCCUGCUUUUGUGGGGUGCUCGAGUGGCGAACGGGUGAGUAACACGUGAGUAACCUGCCCUUGACUUUGGGAUAACUUCAGGAAACUGGGGCUAAUACCGGAUAGGAGCUCCUGCUGCAUGGUGGGGGUUGGAAAGAUUCGGCGGUUGGGGAUGGACUCGCGGCUUAUCAGCUUGUUGGUGGGGUAGUGGCUUACCAAGGCUUUGACGGGUAGCCGGCCUGCGAGGGUGACCGGCCACAUUGGGACUGAGAUACGGCCCAGACUCCUACGGGAGGCAGCAGUGGGGAAUAUUGCACAAUGGGCGGAAGCCUGAUGCAGCAACGCCGCGUGCGGGAUGACGGCCUUCGGGUUGUAAACCGCUUUCGCCUGUGACGAAGCGUGAGUGACGGUAAUGGGUAAAGAAGCACCGGCUAACUACGUG